This 253-nucleotide ribosomal RNA is filed under the name uncultured bacterium. RNAcentral describes it as "partial 16S ribosomal RNA". It matches the Rfam family "Bacterial small subunit ribosomal RNA", at positions 524 to 776 of the family's 1533-position model. The record is from RNAcentral.
UACGAAGGGGGCUAGCGUUGUUCGGAAUUACUGGGCGUAAAGCGCGCGCAGGCGGUCCUUCAAGUCAGAGGUGAAAGCCCAGAGCUCAACUCUGGAAUGGCCUUUGAGACUAGAGGACUUGGGUACGGGAGAGGUGAGUGGAAUUCCGGGUGUAGAGGUGAAAUUCGUAGAUAUUCGGAAGAACACCAGUGGCGAAGGCGGCUCACUGGCCCGUUACCGACGCUCAGGCGCGACAGCGUGGGGAGCAAACAGG